RNAcentral lists this ribosomal RNA (254 nucleotides) under uncultured bacterium. Its description in RNAcentral is "partial 16S ribosomal RNA". It matches the Rfam family "Bacterial small subunit ribosomal RNA", at positions 524 to 776 of the family's 1533-position model. The record is from RNAcentral.
UACGGGGGGGGCAAGCGUUGUUCGGAAUUACUGGGCGUAAAGGGCUCGUAGGCGGCCAACUAAGUCAGACGUGAAAUCCCUCGGCUUAACCGGGGAACUGCGUCUGAUACUGGAUGGCUUGAGUUUGGGAGAGGGAUGCGGAAUUCCAGGUGUAGCGGUGAAAUGCGUAGAUAUCUGGAGGAAUACCGGUGGCGAAGGCGGCAUCCUGGACCGACAUUGACGCUGAGUGAGCGAAAGCUAGGGGAGCAAACGGG